Phasianus colchicus (ring-necked pheasant) is the source of this 1581-nucleotide long non-coding RNA. The record is from Ensembl. Lineage: Eukaryota; Metazoa; Chordata; Aves; Galliformes; Phasianidae.
GCGGCCGGGGCCGUCUGUUGCCAUGGCAGCGCGCUCUCAUCGCGCGGCGGAGCGGGGCCGGGCGGGUUCCGGCGACGAGGGGCUGCGAGGAGAGCCCGGGACCGCGCGGGGGAAGGGCCGGAGGCGCGGCGCGGCGAUCCCGCGGCGGAAGGGCUCGAAAGCGAAAUUAAAAGCCCUCGGCGUGCCGCUGCACGGACGCGCAGCCCCGCGGCGCUCUGCCCGCGCGCGGAGGGGCUCCCGGCACGGCGCGGCUCGGGGCGUCCCCUCUCCCGGCUCGGCACGGGGUGCCCCCCGCCCGGCUCGGCACGGCUGCCCGCGGAGCGCCUGCUGUGCGGCCAACGGCGCUCAAACAGCCGCGGCUCCCCGCGCCGCACGGCGCAUUAUAUAACGGCUUCCGACUCGCUCGCUCCUCCGUUAGCGCUCGGCGGUAAUUCCUCCUCUGCUCGCGCUCCCCGCUCCGUCACGUUAUUAUCGCUAUCGCAGCGGGCGCUGACGUUUCCCAGCGCCUUUAAUUCAGACUUCGCUACCCCCAGGAAUCGCGCUCGCGGAUCGCGGCCCUACCGGGGCUGCCGGGGGAGGAGGAGGAGGGGAUAUCGAACAACACCGACCCGACCCCGAGCUCCGGUCGGCGCCGGGGCCGAGCGGCGCUGCCCCGCGGCCCUCCCACCCGCGCUCCCCCGGCGGCGGUACCGGGCGUUGUCCGCGGGCGGCCUGGGCCCCGGGAGCGGCGGCGCGGGGUGGCCGGCGGGCACGGCCCCGUCCCAGCGCCGCCUCCUCCUCCGCCAGCCGCUCGCUUCAUUCACCCUCAGCGGCCGCCCAGCCCCUACUACAUGCGCCGUGCGGCCGGGCCGCGGCCCCCCCGCUCCCACACACGCACACACACACACAUACACACACACACACGCACAGGCGCCGUGUCAGCACCCCGUCACGCACCGCACCGCCACACACACACACACACACACACACACAAACACACACCCCGCAAAAUGUCCACCGCGGACACCGGCACCCUGCCGGCGGGGUGAGGAAGAAGAAACGAGGAGGAGGAGCGGAAGGGCCGUACGAGCCCCGGGCCCAGGCCGCUGCCCUCGGCCAUGUCGUGGCCCCCGCCCGGGCCGGGCCCUGAGGCUGGGCCGCAGCGCUGCCCCCCCCGCACACACACACACACACACACACGCACACGCACAGCCGCCCCCGGCCCCGUGUUUUUCCAGCCGGGAACCGCGGGUGGCUCCGCAGCCCAAACAAGGGGAGAAGCCGGGGGAGGAGGAGGAGGAGAAGAAGGAGGAGGAGGAGGAGCGGGGGGGGCAGAAAGCAGAGGAGGAAGAAAAAGGCACUUACUGUAAAGUGUCAGUGGAGGUGGGGCUGGCGGGGGGGUCGGACCGAGACUCGCGCACCGCCGUCCUCCCGGGGCGGGGGUCUGUGUGUGUGUGUGUGUGUAAAUGUGUGUGUGUAAAUAUGUGUGUGUGUAUGUGGGCUCCUUCCCCCGCGGGUACACGCUGCGGGCUGCUCCGGCGCUGUAGUAGAAAUGAUGUCUGCGGUACAGCGCUCGCUGCCGCUCCGCUCUCCAGUAUGUAA